UACGUAGGGUGCGAGCGUUGCCCGGAUUUAUUGGGCGUAAAGGGCGCGUAGGCGGCCACGCACGUCCGUUGUGAAAUCGCCCGGCUCAACUGGGCGGGGUCAGCGGAUACGGCGCGGCUGGAGCAAGCUAGGGGGCAAUGGAAUUCCCGGUGUAGUGGUGGAAUGCGUAGAUAUCGGGAGGAACACCAGUGGCGAAGGCGGUUGCCUGGAGCUUUGCUGACGCUGAUGCGCGAAAGCGUGGGGAGCGAGUCCGG
This 254-nucleotide ribosomal RNA is filed under the name uncultured bacterium. RNAcentral describes it as "partial 16S ribosomal RNA". It matches the Rfam family "Bacterial small subunit ribosomal RNA", at positions 524 to 777 of the family's 1533-position model. The record is from RNAcentral.